This 492-nucleotide ribosomal RNA is filed under the name uncultured bacterium. Its description in RNAcentral is "partial 16S ribosomal RNA". It matches the Rfam family "Bacterial small subunit ribosomal RNA", at positions 29 to 507 of the family's 1533-position model. The record is from RNAcentral.
AGUGAACGCUGGCGGUAGGCCUAACACAUGCAAGUCGAACGGCAGCACAGUAAGAGCUUGCUCUUACGGGUGGCGAGUGGCGGACGGGUGAGGAAUACAUCGGAAUCUACUUUUUCGUGGGGGAUAACGUAGGGAAACUUACGCUAAUACCGCAUACGACCUACGGGUGAAAGCAGGGGAUCUUCGUACCUUGCGCGAUUGAAUGAGCCGAUGUCGGAUUAGCUAGUUGGCGGGGUAAAGGCCCACCAAGGCGACGAUCCGUAGCUGGUCUGAGAGGAUGAUCAGCCACACUGGAACUGAGACACGGUCCAGACUCCUACGGGAGGCAGCAGUGGGGAAUAUUGGACAAAGGGCGCAAGCCUGAUCCAGCCAUACCGCGUGGGUGAAGAAGGCCUUCGGGUUGUAAAGCCCUUUUGUUGGGAAAGAAAAGCAGCAGGUUAAUACCCCGCUGUUCUGACGGUACCCAAAGAAUAAGCACCGGCUAACUUCGUG